RNAcentral lists this ribosomal RNA (483 nucleotides) under uncultured bacterium. Its description in RNAcentral is "partial 16S ribosomal RNA". It matches the Rfam family "Bacterial small subunit ribosomal RNA", at positions 30 to 507 of the family's 1533-position model. The record is from RNAcentral.
UUGCACGCUGGCGGCAGGCCUAACACAUGCAAGUCGCGCGGAUGAAGGGAGCUUGCUCCUGGAUUCAGCGGCGGACGGGUGAGUAAUGCCUAGGAAUCUGCCUGGUAGUGGGGGAUAACGUCCGGAAACGGGCGCUAAUACCGCAUACGUCCUGAGGGAGAAAGUGGGGGAUCUUCGGACCUCACGCUAUCAGAUGAGCCUAGGUCGGAUUAGCUAGUUGGUGGGGUAAAGGCCUACCAAGGCGACGAUCCGUAACUGGUCUGAGAGGAUGAUCAGUCACGCUGGAACUGAGACACGGUCCAGACUCCUACGGGAGGCAGCAGUGGGGAAUAUUGGACAAUGGGCGAAAGCCUGAUCCAGCCAUGCCGCGUGUGUGAAGAAGGUCUUCGGAUUGUAAAGCACUUUAAGUUGGGAGGAAGGGCAGUAAGUUAAUACCUUGCUGUUUUGACGUUACCAACAGAAUAAGCACCGGCUAACUUCGUG